GGGGAAUAUUGGGCAAUGGGCGAAAGCCUGACCCAGCAACGCCGCGUGAAGGAAGAAGGUUUUCGGAUCGUAAACUUCUAUCCCGGGUGAAGAUAAUGACGGUAACCCGGAAGGAAGCCCCGGCUAACUACGUGCCAGCAGCCGCGGUAAUACGUAGGGGGCAAGCGUUGUCCGGAAUGAUUGGGCGUAAAGGGCGCGUAGGCGGCCAUGUAAGUCCGACGUGAAAGUCCUGUUUUUAAGGUGGGAAUUGCGUUGGAAACUGUAUGGCUUGAGUGCAGGAGAGGUAAGUGGAAUUCCCGGUGUAGCGGUGAAAUGCGUAGAGAUCGGGAGGAACACCAGUGGCGAAGGCGACUUACUGGACUGUAACUGACGCUGAGGCGCGAAAGUGUGGGGAGCAAAC
RNAcentral lists this ribosomal RNA (400 nucleotides) under uncultured bacterium. Its description in RNAcentral is "bacterial SSU rRNA". It matches the Rfam family "Bacterial small subunit ribosomal RNA", at positions 356 to 773 of the family's 1533-position model. The record is from RNAcentral.